AGUUUGAUCCUGGCUCAGGAUGAACGCUAGCUACAGGCUUAACACAUGCAAGUCGAGGGGCAGCAUUUUAGUUUGCUUGCAAACUAAAGAUGGCGACCGGCGCACGGGUGAGUAACACGUAUCCAACCUGCCGAUAACUCGGGGAUAGCCUUUCGAAAGAAAGAUUAAUAUCCGAUGGUAUAUUUUCUCCGCAUGGUGAGAAUAUUAAAGAAUUUCGGUUAUCGAUGGGGAUGCGUUCCAUUAGUUUGUUGGCGGGGUAACGGCCCACCAAGACCACGAUGGAUAGGGGUUCUGAGAGGAAGGUCCCCCACAUUGGAACUGAGACACGGUCCAAACUCCUACGGGAGGCAGCAGUGAGGAAUAUUGGUCAAUGGACGAGAGUCUGAACCAGCCAAGUAGCGUGAAGGAUGACUGCCCUAUGGGUUGUAAACUUCUUUUAUAUGGGAAUAAAGUGUUCCACGUGUGGGAUUUUGUAUGUACCAUAUGAAUAAGGAUCGGCUAACUCCGUGCCAGCAGCCGCGGUAAUACGGAGGAUCCGAGCGUUAUCCGGAUUUAUUGGGUUUAAAGGGAGCGUAGGUGGAUUGUUAAGUCAGUUGUGAAAGUUUGCGGCUCAACCGUAAAAUUGCAGUUGAAACUGGCAGUCUUGAGUACAGUAGAGGUGGGCGGAAUUCGUGGUGUAGCGGUGAAAUGCUUAGAUAUCACGAAGAACUCCGAUUGCGAAGGCAGCUCACUAGACUGCAACUGACACUGAUGCUCGAAAGUGUGGGUAUCAAACAGGAUUAGAUACCCUGGUAGUCCACACAGUAAACGAUGAAUACUCGCUGUUUGCGAUAUACAGUAAGCGGCCAAGCGAAAGCAUUAAGUAUUCCACCUGGGGAGUACGCCGGCAACGGUGAAACUCAAAGGAAUUGACGGGGGCCCGCACAAGCGGAGGAACAUGUGGUUUAAUUCGAUGAUACGCGAGGAACCUUACCCGGGCUUAAAUUGCAUUUGAAUAAUCUGGAAACAGGUUAGCCGCAAGGCAAAUGUGAAGGUGCUGCAUGGUUGUCGUCAGCUCGUGCCGUGAGGUGUCGGCUUAAGUGCCAUAACGAGCGCAACCCUUAUCUUUAGUUACUAACAGGUCAUGCUGAGGACUCUAGAGAGACUGCCGUCGUAAGAUGUGAGGAAGGUGG
This 1172-nucleotide ribosomal RNA is filed under the name uncultured Bacteroides sp. Its description in RNAcentral is "bacterial SSU rRNA". It matches the Rfam family "Bacterial small subunit ribosomal RNA", at positions 10 to 1176 of the family's 1533-position model. The record is from RNAcentral. Lineage: Bacteria; Pseudomonadati; Bacteroidota; Bacteroidia; Bacteroidales; Bacteroidaceae.